UACGUAGGGUGCGAGCGUUAACCGGAAUUACUGGGCGUAAAGCGUGCGCAGGCGGUGAUGUAAGACCGAUGUGAAAUCCCCGGGCUUAACCUGGGAACUGCAUUGGUGACUGCAUUGCUGGAGUAUGGCAGAGGGGGGUGGAAUUCCACGUGUAGCAGUGAAAUGCGUAGAGAUGUGGAGGAACACCGAUGGCGAAGGCAGCCCCCUGGGCCAAUACUGACGCUCAUGCACGAAAGCGUGGGGAGCAAACAGG
This 253-nucleotide ribosomal RNA is filed under the name uncultured bacterium. RNAcentral describes it as "partial 16S ribosomal RNA". It matches the Rfam family "Bacterial small subunit ribosomal RNA", at positions 524 to 776 of the family's 1533-position model. The record is from RNAcentral.